UCUUUCCUACGCAGCCGCUCCUGCCGCUGUGGUCGCUGGAGCUUUGCCUCUCUAGGCCGGCAGCGCCUCUCCUCCAUGGUCCUGUCUGUCAGCGCUGUUUUGGGAGCCCGCCGGUGAGGCCGGGCCACGCUCGGACACUUCGAUCGUCGAGUCUGUCACUGGGCAUGGCGGGUCAGUUCCGCAGCUACGUGUGGGACCCGCUGCUGAUCCUGUCGCAGAUCGUCCUCAUGCAGACCGUGUAUUACGGCUCGCUGGGCCUGUGGCUGGCGCUGGUGGACGGGCUAGUGCGAAGCAGCCCCUCGCUGGACCAGAUGUUCGACGCCGAGAUCCUGGGCUUUUCCACCCCUCCAGGCCGGCUCUCCAUGAUGUCCUUCAUCCUCAACGCCCUCACCUGGUGAGUAUCACCAGUUUUGCUAUCCAGCUUUUGGGCUCUUAGUGCUGGGACUAACUUCCUAAGUUUGAACAUGAGAAAGGCUGGCACUUGUUUCUGGGGAGUGGUGGAGUAAAGUGGGUGACAGAGGCCAGUUCUGGGACCGGCUGUAUAAUGGGCCUCCUUCCAUUGCUGUUUUGACUUAC
Molecule: small RNA, 576 nt
Filed under: Pongo abelii (Sumatran orangutan)
Lineage: Eukaryota; Metazoa; Chordata; Mammalia; Primates; Hominidae
Description: retained intron
Source: RNAcentral